Molecule: transfer RNA, 73 nt
Organism: Cellulomonas sp. Leaf395
Lineage: Bacteria; Bacillati; Actinomycetota; Actinomycetes; Micrococcales; Cellulomonadaceae
Rfam family: tRNA
About the family: Transfer RNA (tRNA) molecules are approximately 80 nucleotides in length.
Source: Rfam
GGGCCUCUAGCUCAAUUGGCAGAGCAGCGGACUUUUAAUCCGCGGGUUGUGGGUUCGAUCCCCACGGGGCCCA